GGUCCUCUUCGCGCGCCCGGGCGCCGCGGGGCCCGGCCAUCUCCGGGCUGCCCUCGGAGGCCGGGCCGCGCGGGCGUUUGGCGCCCAGCCCCCUACUCUGCGCGGCGCCCUCUUUGUGUACAGGCCCGCGGCAGCCCCCCGCUUUCUUCCCCGCGGAUGCGCACGUGCGUCCCGAGCGCGGCGGCUGUGCCCAGAGACCCGCCUGACCCCGGGCGGCCUUAGCCCUGGUCCGGGCUCCAGCCACCGCAACACGCUCGCCUCUGGUCUCGCGCUCUGCCCUCAGGCACCUGUCCCCCGCUGAUCCACGCAAGGCCCCGUCUGCAGGUGAAGUGGCCUCCCUUAGAGCGACCCGAAAAGUGUGGUCCGUAUUUCAAGGUGGACUUUAAAAGGCGGUGCUGCCUUGCGCCCGCGGGCCCCGCCGGUGGCCGUGCGCUCCUAGACGUUAAGGGAAGGGCAGGCCUUCCCUAGUGCAGAGGCACGGGGCUUGGCCGACUGUCCAUUUUCGCAGAAACCUUCCUCCUGUGUGGGAUCGCUGUCUGGAGAAGGGCUCCCGCGCUGCUCCGGGAAGAAGCCGACCCAGGACGGGAACACGUGGCUGGAAGGUGUCUGGGGGCCAUCUCCAGAAAAGAGGAAGAGCUGCAAGUGCCGUCAGUGAUCCCCUCCAGGCACCCAGAGCCUUAACUGAAAUACCGGAUCGUUCCCUAGAUUUUUGCGACAUUAAACUAUAUUGUCCAGUUAAAAAAAAAAAAGUACGAAACACCGUGGUAGAGGACAACGAUUCCUGCCUCUCCCCUGACUGCACAGCCUCUGGACAGCUUUGCCAGUGGAAGAGCUUUGUUCCACCCACCUGCCCCAGUGCAGCUGUGUCGAUGGCACGAAGCUUCGUUCCGCAGCUCCUAUUUCACAGCGGUCCCCUCUCCCCGGUCUCGUUGCGGGUCACACCAUGAUGGCUGCCCACCCCUCAGAUGCGCCACAGGUUCUGGAGUUGGCUGUUCCCGAGGAGAGCCAGGUGGCGACUUUUUUGAGCAGGACCAGAACAGACCUCCUCGGGCCACGCAGCUGCAAGUGGCACAGUGACCCAGCUGCUCGCUUGCAACCAGCGACUUUCCCAAACCAGCUGCUGCUUCAGCUUCCUUUGUGAUCGGGCCAGUUUCUAAAUUGGGUAACGGUCAAGAGGCAUGGUCUGUGAUGUCAUGUAUGUAAAAGUCUGUUUCUCGUUGAAGUUACAGAAGUAAUGACAACGCGAGCUUUCGCAGGGCCGAGCUCACUUUGUUCUGAUCGCUGCCACCGGCGUAGGGGGUCCAGGGUGGUGGGUGGAUGAAGCCCACCUCUGCCCGAAGCAUCCAGCCGGGCUGUGCGUCCACUUCCUGGUCGGAGAAACGGAACUAACAAGCAGAAUCCAACUUCUCUUUAUUGUUUGCUAUGAAGAGUGAUCUGAUUUAAACAUUACUCGAAGGCCCCUGCUUAUUUUACCAAGCGCAAUGUCCUCAACGUUCCUCCAUGUUGUAUCAGGUGACAGGACUUCCUUCUCUUUUAAGGUUGAAUAAUAUUCCGUAGUCUGGAUAGACCACAUCUUGUUCAUCCAUUCACCUUUCAGUGGACAGUGGGGUUGUUUCCACCCCUUGGCUAGUGUGAGUAAUGCUGCUGUGAACAUGGAUGUACAAAUAUCUGUUUGAGUUCCUGCUUUCAGUUCUUUUGGGUCUAUACCCUCGUGGGUGUGAGGUGGUAUCAAUGAUUUUUAAGACUCCUUUGCUUCCCAAUUUCUUUAGCUGUCUUUCCCUCCCCUCCUACCUUAUGAAAUACUUAAGAGGUUAAAUGUAUAAGAUAAAGAAAUUCCUAAAAAUGAGGAAUUGGGAAGUUUAGACUUAAUUUCCCAGAGGGAUUGGAAUGAGUCCCUUUUUACCACCCUGAAUUCUCCCAGCCAGAGCCUGCCCUGUCCCACUUCGCAGCUGGCUUUGGGUUCAUGAAAACAUAUACAAUAUUAGAAAUUAAGACUAAAAGAUUGUUUUUAAAAGAUUUUUAUUCAUGUAUUUAAACUUACAAUAAGAAACCGAUUCUAUGUUAC
This is a long non-coding RNA of Balaenoptera ricei (Rice's whale), 2065 nucleotides long. RefSeq lists it as uncharacterized. NCBI's taxonomy places the organism in Eukaryota, Metazoa, Chordata, Mammalia, Artiodactyla, Balaenopteridae. The record is from RefSeq and is a predicted model, not a curated record. The transcript is spliced from 3 exons.